AUUGAACGCUGGCGGCAGGCCUAACACAUGCAAGUCGAACGGUAGCACAGAGAGCUUGCUCUCGGGUGACGAGUGGCGGACGGGUGAGUAAUGUCUGGGAAACUGCCCGAUGGAGGGGGAUAACUACUGGAAACGGUAGCUAAUACCGCAUAACGCCUUCGGACCAAAGUGGGGGACCUUCGGGCCUCAUGCCAUCAGAUGUGCCCAGAUGGGAUUAGCUGGUAGGUGGGGUAACGGCUCACCUAGGCGACGAUCCCUAGCUGGUCUGAGAGGAUGACCAGCCACACUGGAACUGAGACACGGUCCAGACUCCUACGGGAGGCAGCAGUGGGGAAUAUUGCACAAUGGGCGCAAGCCUGAUGCAGCCAUGCCGCGUGUGUGAAGAAGGCCUUCGGGUUGUAAAGCACUUUCAGCGGGGAGGAAGGCGGUGAGGUUAACAACCUCAUCGAUUGACGUUACCCGCAGAAGAAGCACCGGCUAACUCCGUGCCAGCCGCCGCAGUAA
Molecule: ribosomal RNA, 504 nt
Filed under: uncultured bacterium
Lineage: Bacteria
Description: partial 16S ribosomal RNA
Rfam family: Bacterial small subunit ribosomal RNA
Source: RNAcentral